UACGGAAUUAUCUUCCUCAUUAUGAAACCAUGUACAUUUUAUGUCGGUAUGCUGCAUGUAUGAAAAUAGCGAAAUACUAGUGUUUAUUACAAGAUCAUUCUAAGUAUCUAUUAGAUUUUAAAUUCUUCAUUAGCUAUUUAUGAAAAGCAAUGAACUCGGAGACUUCUGCAUUAUUUAAAAAUAGGUAAACAACUUAAAACUAUAUCC
Molecule: non-coding RNA, 207 nt
Organism: Schizosaccharomyces pombe (fission yeast)
Lineage: Eukaryota; Fungi; Ascomycota; Schizosaccharomycetes; Schizosaccharomycetales; Schizosaccharomycetaceae
Source: the annotation of a GenBank genome assembly